Molecule: ribosomal RNA, 497 nt
Filed under: uncultured bacterium
Lineage: Bacteria
Description: bacterial SSU rRNA
Rfam family: Bacterial small subunit ribosomal RNA
Source: RNAcentral
AAAUGAAUUGACGGGGGCCCGCACAAGCGGUGGAGCAUGUGGUUCAAUUCGAAGCAACGCGCAGAACCUUACCAGGCCUUGACAUCCCGGUCGCGGCCCCUUGAAAGAGGGGCCUUCAGUUCGGCUGGACCGGUGACAGGUGCUGCAUGGCUGUCGUCAGCUCGUGUCGUGAGAUGUUGGGUUAAGUCCCGCAACGAGCGCAACCCUCGCCCUUAGUUGCCAUCAUUUAGUUGGGCACUCUAAGGGGACUGCCGGUGAUAAGCCGCGAGGAAGGUGGGGAUGACGUCAAGUCCUCAUGGCCCUUACGGCCUGGGCUACACACGUGCUACAAUGGCGGUGACAAUGGGCAGCAAUGGCGCGAGCCGGAGCUAAUCUCAAAAAGCCGUCUCAGUUCGGAUUGCACUCUGCAACUCGGGUGCAUGAAGUUGGAAUCGCUAGUAAUCGUGGAUCAGCAUGCCACGGUGAAUACGUUCCCGGGCCUUGUACACACCGCCCGU